Molecule: transfer RNA, 76 nt
Filed under: Actinomycetes bacterium
Lineage: Bacteria; Bacillati; Actinomycetota; Actinomycetes
Description: Actinobacteria bacterium tRNA-Arg
Rfam family: tRNA
About the family: Transfer RNA (tRNA) molecules are approximately 80 nucleotides in length. Their secondary structure includes four short double-helical elements and three loops (D, anti-codon, and T loops).
Source: RNAcentral
GCCCCUGUAGCUCAGUGGAUAGAGCGGCUGCCUUCUAAGCAGCGGGUCGCAGGUUCGAAUCCUGCCGGGGGCACAA